CCUACCAAGGCUACGAUCAGUAGGGGGUUCUGAGAGGAUUAACCCCCACACUGUUAUUGAGACACGACCCAGAUUCUUAGGGGAGCCACCAUUGAGGAAUAUGGGUCAAUGGGCGGAAGCCUGAACCAGCCAUCCGGCGGGAAGGAAGACAGCCUUACGGGUGUUAAACUUCUUUUCUGUCAGAAGAAUAAGCUUUCGAGACGAGUGAUGCCGGUAUGACAGGAAUAAGCAUCGGCUAACUCCGUGCCAGCAGCCGCGGUAAUACGGAGGAUGCAAGCGUUAUCCGGAUUUAUUGGGUUUAAAGGGUGCGCAGGUUGUCAGAUAAGUCAGGGGUGAAAUUCUGUAGCUUAACGGUAGAAUUGCCAUUGAUACUGAAGGACUAGAAUAAAGAUGAGGUAGGCGGAAUGUGUAGUGUAGCGGUGAAAUGCAUAGAUAUUACACAGAACACCGAUUGCGAAGGCAGCUCACUAAUCCAUCAUUGACGCUGAGGCACGAAAGCGUGGGGAGCAAACAGGAUUAGAUACCCUGGUAGUCCACGCCGUAAACGAUGAUCACUCGCUGUUUGCGAUAUACAGUACAGCGGCUAAGCGAAAGC
Molecule: ribosomal RNA, 595 nt
Filed under: uncultured bacterium
Lineage: Bacteria
Description: bacterial SSU rRNA
Rfam family: Bacterial small subunit ribosomal RNA
Source: RNAcentral